AAUCAACGCUGGCGGCGUGCCUCAGACAUGCAAGUCGAACGAUUAAAGCUCUCUUCGGAGAGUGCAUAGAGUGGCGCACGGGUGAGUAACACGUAAGUAAUCUACCUUCGAGUGGGGAAUAACGUCCGGAAACGGACGCUAAUACCGCAUAAUGCAGCGGCAUCGCAAGAUGACAGUUGUUAAAGGAGCAAUUCGCUUGAAGAGGAGCUUGCGGCAGAUUAGCUAGUUGGUAAGGUAACGGCCCACCAAGGCGACGAUCCGUAGCUGGUCUGAGAGGACGAUCAGCCACACUGGGACUGAGACACGGCCCAGACUCCUACGGGAGGCAGCAGUAGGGAAUCUUGCGCAAAGU
RNAcentral lists this ribosomal RNA (352 nucleotides) under uncultured bacterium. RNAcentral describes it as "bacterial SSU rRNA". It matches the Rfam family "Bacterial small subunit ribosomal RNA", at positions 32 to 374 of the family's 1533-position model. The record is from RNAcentral.